UCCGUAGGUGGCGAUCGUUGUCCGGAAUUACUGGGUGUAAAGGGCGUGUAGGCGGGAAUGCAAGUCAGAUGUGAAAUACCAAGGCUUAACCUUGGGGCUGCAUCUGAAACUGCGUUUCUUGAGUGUCGGAGAGGAAAGUGGAAUUCCUAGUGUAGCGGUGAAAUGCGUAGAUAUUAGGAAGAACACCAGUGGCGAAGGCGGCUUUCUGGACUGUAACUGACGCUGAGGCACGAAAGCGUGGGGAGGAAACAGG
RNAcentral lists this ribosomal RNA (253 nucleotides) under uncultured bacterium. RNAcentral describes it as "partial 16S ribosomal RNA". It matches the Rfam family "Bacterial small subunit ribosomal RNA", at positions 524 to 776 of the family's 1533-position model. The record is from RNAcentral.